AGCGGAUUUUCCGAUCCAGCGCCUGUAGCGACGCAUCAGAACCGCUCCAGCGCAUGCCUGUCGUGA
RNAcentral lists this small RNA (66 nucleotides) under Sinorhizobium meliloti 2011. Its description in RNAcentral is "putative ncRNA". Lineage: Bacteria; Pseudomonadati; Pseudomonadota; Alphaproteobacteria; Hyphomicrobiales; Rhizobiaceae. The record is from RNAcentral.